Molecule: long non-coding RNA, 949 nt
Organism: Grus americana (Whooping crane)
Lineage: Eukaryota; Metazoa; Chordata; Aves; Gruiformes; Gruidae
Exons: 3
Source: RefSeq, a predicted model, not a curated record
CUUGGUAAGGACACCCCCAUCAUGCUCUCAUUACCGUGUUUCACAGCUGUAACGCUCACGAGAGGGACCUGGGAAGCGAUUUUGAAUGCUGGUGAUGCAACUUCACUAAAGGUACCAUCACUGGACCAGUCUUCUAGCUGCGAUACAGCUGUUGGCAUUAUUUUUUAGUUUCUGGAGACUGUAGUUUUGUUGCAGUCCCACAUCUAUUCCCUGUAAUUCUGAUAGUAGCAUUUUGUAGGUAAAUCGAGAUAAGCAGCAUCGCUGUCCUGCAAACCCUCAUACUCCACAGGUGUGAACCAUCUCUCUCCACUGCAGCAUGGGCAGUUGGACCGAUGCAGCUCUGGAGUGGGCAGCGUGAUGAGAAAGGCAGCGGGUGUCUAGUUUGGGUGGCAUAACUGUGCUUGUCCUUAUGGACCGUCACUUCUCCACAUGGCCAAGUGCUGCUCCCUGCGCUCAUCGCCUGAAUGCAUUUUAUCACUCGCCAUCCAGACAGUCCUGCAGGGUGUGAUCAUGGCAUCUAAGAAGCUGCGUUGCUAAACCUAUCAGCGCUGCCUGGUCCUAGGCAAGCUCCGUCUCACCUGAUGGUUGUUCGGCCAUCCCCACUCUGUGGGUAUCGGCAUCCUGCAGUGAUACAGGAAUUUGAACUGGAAGAUGACCUUAAAAUGCAGAAAGCUCUAUGGAAGCACCACCAAAGGUGAUGUGACCAGUCAGGGAGUGAUGCUGUGAAGAAUGAUGGGUUGCAUCCUGCUGGUUCCACUAAAGAAAAAGCCCUCUGCUACCCAUAAAGCCUCAUCCAGAUGCAAAAUUGCUCGGGUGCUGCUUCUUGCCUCUACUGGGUGCCUGAGUAUGGAAAUGGGCUGAGAUGUCUACGCUGUGUGUGAGGCAUGGAGUCCUGCUAUGGUUGGCAGAGAUGGGAUCAGUGAAGCCUCAGCAGCUACUCGGUGUCUCC